This 266-nucleotide long non-coding RNA is filed under the name Zea mays. RNAcentral's name for it is "long non-coding RNA (ZMAY_LNC005433)". Lineage: Eukaryota; Viridiplantae; Streptophyta; Magnoliopsida; Poales; Poaceae. The record is from RNAcentral.
UUAGAGAAGCGUGGCGACGACAGUUGCAUCGGCAGUAAGCAAGCAAGCAAGCAGUGCAGGCCAUACCGUGGAUGAGUCCGGUGAGGUGGAGCCAGUCCUCGUCGGGGUAGUCCUUGCGGAUGGCCUCGGCGGUCUGCAGCAGGUGCUCGAUCUGGGGCAUGUCCAGGUCCGGGUCGCUGUCGUCGAUGAACUCGUUCAGCAGCUCGAUGCACUCCCAGAUGCCCAUCUCCGUCUUGUCCAGCCGCCCGUACUCCGCCCGCAUCCGC